This 514-nucleotide long non-coding RNA is filed under the name Rattus norvegicus (Norway rat). RNAcentral describes it as "long non-coding RNA NONRATT033911". The record is from RNAcentral. Lineage: Eukaryota; Metazoa; Chordata; Mammalia; Rodentia; Muridae.
UUACAGAUAACACUAUAUGAAUGGCCACCAAAGUUAACAUCUCGUAUAGCUGUAAGGACAACACCUUCUAUGUAAAACAAGAACGAUGCUGUGACUCUUCUGGUGAACAAUUUCAAUCAUAUUAUGAUGUAUCCUGUCCUAGAUUGAGUAAAGUUAUAUCCAGCGAUCAUCUGAUUUCCUGUGUACUAGACUAAUUCAGGCAGUUGAUUCAAGCGUGAUUAUAAGGUCAUGCUUGUGUAAAAAAAUCUUAUUUCAUGACCUCACCAAGAGUAUAUAAGGCCUGGCAGAAGCAAUUCAACCGGCUAUCAUAAGGCAGAGAACGAGCUAUUAGGUUCUUUUCAAAGACUAUUCUGUGUUCUUUGUUACAACCGCUGUUACCAGAUUCUAAAUUAGUAAACGUAACAGAAAACUGCCAUGAACCUUGAAUUCAUAUUUCUUGGUAGCAUUGUGCUUGCAACCAUUUUUGUCUUCCUGAAGAUUUUACUAGAGGUAAGCUGUAUAUAGGCAAUUGUAC